GGAGUCUGGUCCGUGUCUCAGUACCAGUGUGGGGGACCUUCCUCUCAGAACCCCUACUGAUCGUUGGCCAGGUGGGCCGUUACCCCCGCCCUGCAACCUAAUCAGACGCAUCCCCACUCCCACUAGCGGUAAACCUUUAUUCCUCCUUAGAUGCCUGCAAAGGAAAACAUAGGGUAUUAAUCCGCAUUUCUACGGGCUAUGCCCUACUAUGGGGAAGG
Molecule: ribosomal RNA, 218 nt
Filed under: uncultured Prevotella sp.
Lineage: Bacteria; Pseudomonadati; Bacteroidota; Bacteroidia; Bacteroidales; Prevotellaceae
Description: partial 16S ribosomal RNA
Source: RNAcentral